GACGAACGCUGGCGGCGCGCCUAACACAUGCAAGUCGAACGAGCGAGAGAGAGCUUGCUUUCUCGAGCGAGUGGCGAACGGGUGAGUAACGCGUGAGGAACCUGCCUCAAAGAGGGGGACAACAGUUGGAAACGACUGCUAAUACCGAAUACGCUUGGGAGACCGCAUGAUCUACCAAGGAAAGGGUGGCCUCUACCUGUAAGCUAUCGCCUGAAGAGGGGUUUGCGUCUGAUUAGGCAGUUGGUGAGGUAACGGCCCACCAAACCUACGAUCAGUAGCCGGUCUGAGAGGAUGAACGGCCACACUGGAACUGAGACACGGUCCAGACUCCUACGGGAGGCAGCAGUGGGGAAUCUUCCGCAAUGGGCGAAAGCCUGACGGAGCAACGCCGCGUGAGUGAUGACGGCCUCGGUUGUAAAGCUCUGUGAUCGGGACGAACGGUCCGUAAGCUAAUACC
RNAcentral lists this ribosomal RNA (457 nucleotides) under uncultured bacterium. Its description in RNAcentral is "bacterial SSU rRNA". It matches the Rfam family "Bacterial small subunit ribosomal RNA", at positions 28 to 479 of the family's 1533-position model. The record is from RNAcentral.